Molecule: ribosomal RNA, 449 nt
Filed under: uncultured bacterium
Lineage: Bacteria
Description: partial 16S ribosomal RNA
Rfam family: Bacterial small subunit ribosomal RNA
Source: RNAcentral
GUCGAGAAUCUUUCACAAUGGGGGCAACCCUGAUGGAGCGACGCCGCGUGGAGGAUAAGGUCUUCGGAUUGUAAACUCCUGUCAUGCGUGAACAAGGUUGCUUGGUUAAUACCUGGGCAAAUUGAUGGUAACGCAAGAGGAAGAGACGGCUAACUCUGUGCCAGCAGCUGCGGUAAUACAGAGGUCUCAAGCGUUGUUCGGAAUCACUGGGCGUAAAGGGUGCGUAGGUGGCGUGGUAAGUCAGAUGUGAAAGCCCGGGGCUCAACAUCGGAACUGCAUCCGAUACUGCCAUGCUAGAGUACUGGAGAGGUGACUAGAAUUCUCGGUGUAGCAGUGAAAUGCGUAGAUAUCGAGAGGAAUACCAAAGGCGUAGGCAGGUCACUGGACAGUUACUGACACUGAGGCACGAAGGCCAGGGGAGCGAACGGGAUUAGAAACCCCGGUAGUCC